AGGAGGUGUCCGCCAGCAUCUGGUCUUUUCUCCCUCUCUCUCUCAUUCGCACCGCCACCCAAUCUCUCCCUCGCGCCCUCCCAGAUCUGCACCCCGGCACUCGGUGGCUCCUCUUGCUGCCUCUCGCCAGUAUCUCCUGCCGAUCCCGGCCUAAUCACCACCGCGGAGUCGACUGCGGUGAACACGCUGCGCCAUCUGUGGUGGCAGCACCGCGCCGCCCAUGCAGAUCGGCCGGGUUUGCGAUGACCUGGUGACCUCGCAUCUCGGUGGUUACGUCGCCUCAUGCCGAUUUGAUGCCUACCGGGCCUACCGCCGGGCUUGCUCUCCGACCGGUCCCUAGGCGAGCAUCCCUCUGAUUCCUCUGGUUGCGUACGAUGGGUGCCCAGGCGCGCAUCUCUGUUCUUCUACUCUGACAGCCGGCUGUCCAGAAGUUAAAUGUGAGCAUGGUAGGGAGCCAAGGUAUCUCACCCCUCCCUCCCCAGAUUUGUUGAUUAGUGUAUAGGAAUAUUUAGGAUGAACUCGUAUUGAAAUCUGUGAGCUAUAGGUUAUAGCUUAGUGAGACAUAUAGGGAAUAGUUGAUGAGAAACAACAUGAGGUGAGACUUCUGUUUCUGAACAUUUAAUUUAGUAUAAGAGCUUCACGAUCAAUAGGUACAAUGUCUCUGCAGGCGCAUCUGGUUUUAAUCCAUCUAUAGACGUCAAUUUUUAGGUGAGCACACAUAUGUUUAUGAUGAUACUUAAUAUCCCAAGGUUGUAUUUUGGGGAACAAUUUGCUGUCCCGGACAUUGUUGUUUAAUUUGUAAUCAUGUGGAGCACAUUUGAUUUUGUACAAAAUACAGCUCGUGGGAUUCUGAAAGUAAUAUUCGAUGAACCAACGUGAGCACUAUAUAGCUGUGUUACUGUUUCUAGAUACGAUCACCUCAGCUGUAGGUUUAACGCACUCGUAGAUAGCUAAGCUGAAGUAACUAGCUCAAUAUGCACAUAUAGCUAGCAAACUGACUAGCUAUCUAAUAUGCAUGCUCUGUACAUCUAACAUGUUCGGUUAGCUACUAAUUGGUUCCAACCGAUUUAUUUCAUUUUGUAUGCCAUCAAUACUACCUUAUACUAGAGAAAUAGCAAAACAAGUGAUAAUUCAAUCCUUGCCCACCCCAGUCUUACAUAGCUGAUAGGUUCAGAGUGUUAACAAUCUUAAGUUCUUAACAGAAAGAGAAGGUGAUAACUGUGUUAGUUUUGCCGGAUUGCCCGAACGUUGUUUUCUAUAUAACUACCACACUAUCUUGCAAUUCUUUUAGGGAAUUGUAGUUUGAUGUAUAAAUACAGAAAUGUUGUUUGCUAUAUAACUAGAAUAUCAUCUUCAAGUCUUCUAGAGAAUUGUAGUUUGCUAUAUAAAUACAUCAUAGUCUUGCAAGCGGUCAAUUUAACGUCAUUAUGUGGCUAUAAUGUCAGGGGCUAAGGUGUGGGAUCGUUUUCCCCAAAAAAGUCUAUUCACUUCACAUGGCUGUGAACUGUAGAUUUCUUGUAUUAUUGAAUUAUUUUGACACAUCAAUGCCAUGUCUUUCUUCACUUGUUUCGAACAGGCUCAAAAUAAUAUUUUUCAGAUGGUCAAGACAGUUGGGGCUUCUGAUGGGCUGAGAGGAACAUGUUCUUACGGAUGGCCAUGGUCUGCUGUUGAUGGACACACUAACCUGUAAUUUAGUAUCUUGCUCAAGGUCUUGAUGAGUGGUGUAGAUACUUUGCAUGACCAACACAAGGUGUUGACAUCCAUUUUAAUCAGAGAUGUAGAUAGUUGGCCUGACUAAUAGUAGCAAAUAAUUGUCCAGAUCAAUAGCGCAUGUACAUGUUGAUUUAUUUGUUCUUUUAGCUAUAGUUUACUUCUUAAAUGGUUAGCUCUAAAUUGACCAUGAGUCUGAUGUAUGUGUAAUUAAAUGAGAAUCUGAUGUGUACAUUGCA
Long non-coding RNA from Triticum dicoccoides, 1949 nucleotides. RefSeq lists it as uncharacterized. The record is from RefSeq and is a predicted model, not a curated record. The transcript has 2 exons. Lineage: Eukaryota; Viridiplantae; Streptophyta; Magnoliopsida; Poales; Poaceae.